Molecule: ribosomal RNA, 203 nt
Filed under: uncultured Actinomycetales bacterium
Lineage: Bacteria; Bacillati; Actinomycetota; Actinomycetes; Actinomycetales
Description: partial 16S ribosomal RNA
Rfam family: Bacterial small subunit ribosomal RNA
Source: RNAcentral
UUCUUCUGGAUAACCGCAUGAAAGUGUGGCUAAUACGGGAUAUUCUGCGCCUGCUGCAUGGUGGGUGUGGGAAAGAUAUUGUUUCGGUGGGGGAUGGGCUCGCGGCCUAUCAGCUUGUUGGUGGGGUGAUGGCCUACCAAGGCGGUGACGGGUAGCCGGCCUGAGAGGGUGGAUGGUCACACUGGGACUGAGACACGGCCCAG